This 457-nucleotide long non-coding RNA is filed under the name Brassica rapa (field mustard). RNAcentral's name for it is "long non-coding RNA (BRAP_LNC005662)". The record is from RNAcentral. Lineage: Eukaryota; Viridiplantae; Streptophyta; Magnoliopsida; Brassicales; Brassicaceae.
AAAAUCACUCAUCCUCCCUAACCCUAAGCGCCGUCUCAGACCCUUUGUCGAUUCUCUUCCUCUCCCCCACCUUCCUAAACGCUCUCAGUUAAUCUCCUUUAUCAAGCGUACAAAGAAUCUUCCUAAAUGUCUUCAGAUGCUGCUGUUGCGCAAUGCCUUCGACGCUCUUCGCCUCGGUCGAUCGUCGCAGUUCGUUGUCGCUCGGCUUCUCCGUUUUUGGGACUCGGAAAAUAUGAAGAACAUGGUGAAUUCAUGGAAUCACUCUACUUAUCCUUGAUGAGAAGGUAUUGUAACAAGAAGCAUCUUAUUUUAUUUUUUAUCUUAAUUUUGUUUUCGAAUAGCCCCAAUAAUUUAAAUCGUCUAACUGUAUCUGUUUGCCAUGCUGCAUAAAGUAAGAUAUGUAGCUUGAAAUUUGAGGAAAUGUUUUAGUAUUACAGGACCUCCUAUAGUCUCAAAG